Hippocampus comes (tiger tail seahorse) is the source of this 170-nucleotide long non-coding RNA. RefSeq lists it as uncharacterized. The record is from RefSeq and is a predicted model, not a curated record. The transcript is spliced from 2 exons. NCBI's taxonomy places the organism in Eukaryota, Metazoa, Chordata, Actinopteri, Syngnathiformes, Syngnathidae.
GUCAGGCGUUUUUCACAAAAAAAAAAAUCGACCAUGUAUAGUAAGGCGUUUUUAGCCGAAAAAAACCGACCAUGUAUAAUGAGGCGUUUCCAGCCGAAAUAAAAGACCAUGUAUAGUGAGGCAUUUUUAGCCGAAAAAAAACGACAAUGUAUAGGAAGGUGUUUUUAGCC